CGCAUCAUCCUUUUUUGUAUGCUACACAAAAUUGGAUACCAUUGCUUAUGCAACAACCCAGUUAGUGAAUGUGCAGGUGCGGUCAACUAAACCUAGCCAUUUGGAUUGACAAGAGCUCAGUUCAGGGGAUGUAUAGAAGAACUAUUACAAUAAGAGGACAAAGCAAUCAAGUUGGGAGAAACCUGCUUUUUGGGUUGAUGACACCUUUCGAGGUAGAUGUGCGUGAGGGAGCGUCCAUUGGUCUGUACGAGAAGAGUGGGAUGUCAGCCGUUGUGCUGAGGAGGGAGUGGUCGACCUGUUUGUGCUGGCACCAGAGACUUAGCCAUCCUGCAUCACGCUCGACCAUGUUGUCCUGGUCGUGUCUGUCGUCCUCUUC
Triticum dicoccoides is the source of this 376-nucleotide long non-coding RNA. RefSeq lists it as uncharacterized. The transcript is spliced from 3 exons. NCBI's taxonomy places the organism in Eukaryota, Viridiplantae, Streptophyta, Magnoliopsida, Poales, Poaceae. The record is from RefSeq and is a predicted model, not a curated record.